RNAcentral lists this non-coding RNA (86 nucleotides) under unclassified sequences. RNAcentral's name for it is "eL15-Euryarchaeota ribosomal protein leader". It matches the Rfam family "eL15-Euryarchaeota ribosomal protein leader". The record is from RNAcentral.
CCUGCACGGGUUCGACCGCAGGUCGGGAUGUGAUCCACGGGAGCGGUCUCGGAGACGAGCCGUCACCGGCGUGAUUGAACCACUCA